Molecule: ribosomal RNA, 247 nt
Filed under: uncultured bacterium
Lineage: Bacteria
Description: partial 16S ribosomal RNA
Rfam family: Bacterial small subunit ribosomal RNA
Source: RNAcentral
AGAUGGCGACCGGCGCACGGGUGAGUAACACGUAUCCAACCUGCCGAUAACUCGGGGAUAGCCUUUCGAAAGAAAGAUUAAUACCCGAUGGCAUAAUUAGACCGCAUGGUCUUAUUAUUAAAGAAUUUCGGUUAUCGAUGGGGGUGCGUUCCAUUAGGCAGUUGGUGAGGUAACGGCUCACCAAACCUUCGAUGGAUAGGGGUUCUGAGAGGAAGGUCCCCCACAUUGGAACUGAGACACGGUCCAA